RNAcentral lists this ribosomal RNA (465 nucleotides) under Vreelandella stevensii. Its description in RNAcentral is "partial 16S ribosomal RNA". It matches the Rfam family "Bacterial small subunit ribosomal RNA", at positions 338 to 795 of the family's 1533-position model. Lineage: Bacteria; Pseudomonadati; Pseudomonadota; Gammaproteobacteria; Oceanospirillales; Halomonadaceae. The record is from RNAcentral.
CCUACGGGCGGCAGCAGUGGGGAAUAUUGGACAAUGGGGGGAACCCUGAUCCAGCCAUGCCGCGUGUGUGAAGAAGGCCCUCGGGUUGUAAAGCACUUUCAGUGAGGAAGAACGCCUGGUGGUUAAUACCCAUCAGGAAAGACAUCACUCACAGAAGAAGCACCGGCUAACUCCGUGCCAGCAGCCGCGGUAAUACGGAGGGUGCGAGCGUUAAUCGGAAUUACUGGGCGUAAAGCGCGCGUAGGUGGCUUGAUAAGCCGGUUGUGAAAGCCCCGGGCUCAACCUGGGAACGGCAUCCGGAACUGUCAAGCUAGAGUGCAGGGGAGGAAGGUAGAAUUCCCGGUGUAGCGGUGAAAUGCGUAGAGAUCGGGAGGAAUACCAGUGGCGAAGGCGGCCUUCUGGACUGACACUGACACUGAGGUGCGAAAGCGUGGGUAGCAAACAGGAUUAGAUACCCGAGUAGUC